Molecule: transfer RNA, 72 nt
Filed under: Myotis davidii
Lineage: Eukaryota; Metazoa; Chordata; Mammalia; Chiroptera; Vespertilionidae
Rfam family: tRNA
About the family: Transfer RNA (tRNA) molecules are approximately 80 nucleotides in length. Their secondary structure includes four short double-helical elements and three loops (D, anti-codon, and T loops). Further hydrogen bonds mediate the characteristic L-shaped molecular structure. tRNAs have two regions of fundamental functional importance: the anti-codon, which is responsible for specific mRNA codon recognition, and the 3' end, to which the tRNAs corresponding amino acid is attached (by aminoacyl-tRNA synthetases). tRNAs cope with the degeneracy of the genetic code in two manners: having more than one tRNA (with a specific anti-codon) for a particular amino acid; and 'wobble' base-pairing, i.e. permitting non-standard base-pairing at the 3rd anti-codon position.
Source: Rfam by way of RNAcentral
GGCAGGGUAGCUCAGUUGGUUAGAGCGUUGUCCUGAUAAGCCAACCCCAAGGUUGGGUUCGAUCCCCAGUCA